CCACAUCUCAACUCCCUAAUAAAUCUCCAACUAAAACUCCAUCAACUUAGGCUACAUAUAUUCUGCAACUCCAUUCCAUAAAAUCCACAUUUAAAAUCUAAGAGUCCCAACGCAGUUUCAUCUCUUCCACAAAGUUUGAAGGAGAAACCAAGAGAGUUGUGAUUUUUCAAUACUUUCUCUUCUGCAAGUUUUGCCUCUUCCGGAAGGGUGAAAUUUUGCACGUUGUUGAGGUUGGGACAGGAAGUUUGUGGAGGCU
Molecule: non-coding RNA, 256 nt
Organism: Salvia hispanica
Lineage: Eukaryota; Viridiplantae; Streptophyta; Magnoliopsida; Lamiales; Lamiaceae
Source: RefSeq, a predicted model, not a curated record